UGAACGCUGGCGGCGUGCUUAACACAUGCAAGUCGAACGAAGCACCUUGCCCGAAGAAAUGGAGUGCUUGCACAAAAUUGAUUCAACUAAGGUGACUGAGUGGCGGACGGGUGAGUAACGCGUGGGUAACCUGCCCUAUACAGGGGGAUAACAGUUAGAAAUGACUGCUAAUACCGCAUAAGCGCACGACCUCGCAUGAGGAUGUGUGAAAAACUGAGGUGGUAUAGGAUGGACCCGCGUCUGAUUAGCUAGUUGGUGGGGUAGAGGGCCUACCCAAGGCGACGAUCAGUAGCCGGCCUGAGAGGGCGACCGGCCACAUUGGGACUGAGACACGGCCCAGACUCCUACGGGAGGCAGCAGUGGGGAAUAUUGCACAAUGGGCGAAAGCCUGAUGCAAGCGACGCCGCGUGAGCGAAGAAGUAUUUCGGUAUGUAAAGCUCUAUCAGCAGGGAAGAUAAUGACGGUACCUGACUAAGAAGCCCCGGCUAACUACGUGCCAGCCGCCGC
This 507-nucleotide ribosomal RNA is filed under the name uncultured bacterium. RNAcentral describes it as "bacterial SSU rRNA". It matches the Rfam family "Bacterial small subunit ribosomal RNA", at positions 30 to 518 of the family's 1533-position model. The record is from RNAcentral.